CUGAUGCAGCCAUGCCGCGUGUGUGAAGAAGGCCUUCGGGUUGUAAAGCACUUUCAGCGAGGAGGAAAGGUUAGUAGUUAAUACCUGCUAGCUGUGACGUUACYCGCAGAAGAAGCACCGGCUAACUCCGUGCCAGCAGCCGCGGUAAU
This 149-nucleotide ribosomal RNA is filed under the name uncultured bacterium. Its description in RNAcentral is "partial 16S ribosomal RNA". It matches the Rfam family "Bacterial small subunit ribosomal RNA", at positions 383 to 524 of the family's 1533-position model. The record is from RNAcentral.